UACUCAAAAGUGUUUUUAGCACAAAAGAUUUUGAUUCUUUUAGAUUCGGUGCAAAUCCGUUUUGUGUAA
RNAcentral lists this transfer RNA (69 nucleotides) under Eurycercus lamellatus. RNAcentral describes it as "tRNA-Gln". It matches the Rfam family "tRNA". Rfam says of the family: Transfer RNA (tRNA) molecules are approximately 80 nucleotides in length. Their secondary structure includes four short double-helical elements and three loops (D, anti-codon, and T loops). The record is from RNAcentral. Lineage: Eukaryota; Metazoa; Arthropoda; Branchiopoda; Diplostraca; Eurycercidae.